GGAGGGCGCAAGCGUUGUUCGGAAUCAUUGGGCGUAAAGAGCGUGUAGGCGGUCGGGCAAGUCGGAUGUGAAAUCCCGAGGCUCAACCUCGGAACUGCAUUCGAAACUGCCCGACUAGAGUCCCGGAGAGGGUGGCGGAAUUCCCAGUGUAGAGGUGAAAUUCGUAGAUAUUGGGAGGAACACCAGCGGCGAAGGCGGCCGCCUGGACGGUGACUGACGCUGAGACGCGAAAGCGUGGGGAGCAAACAGGGAUUAGAUACCCUGGUAGUCCACGCCGUAAACGUUGGGUGCUAGGUGUCGCGGGUAUUGACCCCCGACGGUACCGAAGCUAACGCGUUAAGCACCCCGCCUGGGGAGUACGGUCGCAAGACUA
RNAcentral lists this ribosomal RNA (373 nucleotides) under uncultured organism. Its description in RNAcentral is "partial 16S ribosomal RNA". It matches the Rfam family "Bacterial small subunit ribosomal RNA", at positions 527 to 896 of the family's 1533-position model. The record is from RNAcentral.